UACGGAGGAUCCGAGCGUUAUCCGGAUUUAUUGGGUUUAAAGGGUGCGCAGGCGGGGGAUUAAGUCGGCGGUGAAAUUUUGCAGCUCAACUGUAAAAGUGCCUUCGAAACUGGUUUCCUUGAGUGUAGAUGAAGUAGGCGGAAUUUGUGGUGUAGCGGUGAAAUGCAUAGAUAUCACGAGGAACUCCGAUUGCGCAGGCAGCUUACUAAACUACUACUGACGCACAGGCACGAAGGCGUGGGGAUCAAACAGGAUUAGAUACCCUGGUAGU
This 271-nucleotide ribosomal RNA is filed under the name uncultured prokaryote. RNAcentral describes it as "partial 16S ribosomal RNA". It matches the Rfam family "Bacterial small subunit ribosomal RNA", at positions 524 to 794 of the family's 1533-position model. The record is from RNAcentral.